UACGGAGGGUGCAAGCGUUGUCCGGAUUUAUUGGGUUUAAAGGGUGCGUAGGCGGCCAUUUAAGUCUGGGGUGAAAGCCCGUUGCUCAACAACGGAACUGCCCUGGAAACUGGAUGGCUUGAGUACAGACGAGGGUGGCGGAAUGGAUGCUGUAGCGGUGAAAUGCAUAGAUAGCAUCCAGAACCCCCGAUUGCGAAGGCAGCUGCCUAGACUGUAACUGACGCUGAGGCACGAAAGCGUGGGGAGCGAACAGG
Molecule: ribosomal RNA, 254 nt
Filed under: uncultured bacterium
Lineage: Bacteria
Description: partial 16S ribosomal RNA
Rfam family: Bacterial small subunit ribosomal RNA
Source: RNAcentral